Labeo rohita (rohu) is the source of this 116-nucleotide small nuclear RNA. RefSeq annotates it as U5 spliceosomal RNA. The transcript has a single exon. The record is from RefSeq and is a predicted model, not a curated record. NCBI's taxonomy places the organism in Eukaryota, Metazoa, Chordata, Actinopteri, Cypriniformes, Cyprinidae.
ACACUAAUGUUUCUUUUCAUAUCGUAUAAAUGUUUUGCCUUUUACCAAAGAUUUCUGUGGAGAAGGACAUCAUGAGUAUAAUUUAAUUUUUUGAUGUUCUGGUUAAGUGUGGGGUU